GAUGACUUCUGUGCUUGCACAGAAUGAUUAGUGGCGAACGGGUGAGUAACACGUGAGUAACCUGCCCUUGACUUCGGGAUAAGCCUGGGAAACCGGGUCUAAUACCGGAUACGACCUCCUGGCGCAUGCCAUGGGGGUGGAAAGCUUUAUUGCGGUUUUGGAUGGACUCGCGGCCUAUCAGCUUGUUGGUUGGGGUAAUGGCCCACCAAGGCGACGACGGGUAGCCGGCCUGAGAGGGUGACCGGCCACACUGGGACUGAGACACGGCCCAGACUCCUACGGGAGGCAGCAGUGGGGAAUAUUGCACAAUGGGCGAAAGCCUGAUGCAGCGACGCCGCGUGAGGGAUGACGGCCUUCGGGUUGUAAACCUCUUUCAGCAGGGAAGAAGCGAAAGUGACGGUACCUGCAGAAGAAGCGCCGGCUAACUACGUGCCAGCAGCCGCGGUAAUACGUAGGGCGCAAGCGUUAUCCGGAAUUAUUGGGCGUAAAGAGCUCGUAGGCGGUUUGUCGCGUCUGCUGUGAAAGCCCGGGGCUCAACCCCGGGUCUGCAGUGGGUACGGGCAGACUAGAGUGCAGUAGGGGAGACUGGAAUUCCUGGUGUAGCGGUGAAAUGCGCAGAUAUCAGGAGGAACACCGAUGGCGAAGGCAGGUCUCUGGGCUGUAACUGACGCUGAGGAGCGAAAGCAUGGGGAGCGAACAGGAUUAGAUACCCUGGUAGUCCAUGCCGUAAACGUUGGGCACUAGGUGUGGGGGACAUUCCACGUUUUCCGCGCCGUANCUACGCAUUAAGUGNCCCGCCNGGGGAGUACNGNCGCAAGGCUAAAACUCAAGGAAUUGACGGGGGCCCGCACAAGCGGCGGANCANGCGGAUUAAUUCGAUGC
This 882-nucleotide ribosomal RNA is filed under the name Arthrobacter gandavensis. Its description in RNAcentral is "bacterial SSU rRNA". It matches the Rfam family "Bacterial small subunit ribosomal RNA", at positions 68 to 957 of the family's 1533-position model. Lineage: Bacteria; Bacillati; Actinomycetota; Actinomycetes; Micrococcales; Micrococcaceae. The record is from RNAcentral.